This 722-nucleotide ribosomal RNA is filed under the name uncultured bacterium. RNAcentral's name for it is "bacterial SSU rRNA". It matches the Rfam family "Bacterial small subunit ribosomal RNA", at positions 127 to 851 of the family's 1533-position model. The record is from RNAcentral.
UGCCCUUAACAGGGGGAUAUCCGGGAGAAAUUCCGACUAAUACCGCAUACGUGCCUUGGGGGCAUCCCCUGGGGAUGAAAGAAUUAUCGGUGAAGGAUGGGCAUGCGUGAUAUUAGGUAGUUGGCGGGGCAACGGCCCACCAAGCCCACGAUAUCUAGGGGUUCUGAGAGGAAGGUCCCCCACAUUGGUACUGAGACACGGACCAAACUCCUACGGGAGGCAGCAGUGAGGAAUAUUGGUCAAUGGACGAGAGUCUGAACCAGCCAAGUCGCGUGAAGGAAGGCGGAUCUAUGGUUUGUAAACUUCUUUAGUGCGGGAACAAAGCGGCGUCGAGACGCCUGAUGAGUGUACCGCAAGAAUAAGCAUCGGCUAACUCCGUGCCAGCAGCCGCGGUAAUACGGAGGAUGCGAGCGUUAUCCGGAUUUAUUGGGUUUAAAGGGAGCGCAGGCUGCGGGGCAAGUCAGCGGUCAAAUGUCGGGGCUCAACCCCGGCCUGCCGUUGAAACUGUCCUGCUAGAGUUCGAGUGAGGUAUGCGGAAUGCGUUGUGUAGCGGUGAAAUGCAUAGAUAUGACGCAGAACUCCGAUUGCGAAGGCAGCAUACCAACUCGCGACUGACGCUGAGGCUCGAAAGCGUGGGUAUCGAACAGGAUUAGAUACCCUGGUAGUCCACGCAGUAAACGAUGAAUACUAACUGUUCGGAGGGCGACCUCUGAGUGGUAAAG